UACGGGGGGGGCAAGCGUUGUUCGGAAUUACUGGGCGUAAAGGGCGCGUAGGCGGUCUGCUAAGUUGGAUGUGAAAACUCUGGGCUUAACCCAGAGCCUGCAUUCAAUACUGACAGGCUAGAGUUCUGGAGGGGAUAGCGGAAUUCCUGGUGUAGCGGUGAAAUGCGUAGAUAUGUGGAGGAACACCAGUGGCGAAGGCGACUCUUUGGCCUGUAACUGACACUGAGGCGCGAAAGCGUGGGGAGCAAACAGG
RNAcentral lists this ribosomal RNA (253 nucleotides) under uncultured bacterium. RNAcentral's name for it is "partial 16S ribosomal RNA". It matches the Rfam family "Bacterial small subunit ribosomal RNA", at positions 524 to 776 of the family's 1533-position model. The record is from RNAcentral.